Molecule: ribosomal RNA, 545 nt
Filed under: uncultured bacterium
Lineage: Bacteria
Description: bacterial SSU rRNA
Rfam family: Bacterial small subunit ribosomal RNA
Source: RNAcentral
CCUACGGGAGGCAGCAGUGGGGAAUUUUGCGCAAUGGGGGAAACCCUGACGCAGCAACGCCGCGUGGAGGAUGAAGUACUUCGGUACGUAAACUCCUUUCGAUCGGGACGAUUAUGACGGUACCGGAAGAAGAAGCCCCGGCUAACUUCGUGCCAGCAGCCGCGGUAAUACGAGGGGGGCGAGCGUUGUUCGGAAUUAUUGGGCGUAAAGGGUGCGUAGGCGGUUUGGUAAGUCUUGUGUGAAAUCUCUGGGCUCAACUCAGAGACUGCACGAGAAACUGCCGGGCUUGAGUGUGGGAGAGGUGAGUGGAAUUCCUGGUGUAGCGGUGAAAUGCGUAGAUAUCAGGAGGAACACCUGUGGCGAAAGCGGCUCACUGGACCAUAACUGACGCUGAUGCACGAAAGCUAGGGGAGCAAACAGGAUUAGAUACCCUGGUAGUCCUAGCCCUAAACGAUGACUGCUUGGUGUGACGGGUACCCAAUCCCGCCGUGCCGUAGCUAACGCGUUAAGCAGUCCGCCUGGGAGUACGGUCGCAAGGCUGAAAC